Long non-coding RNA from Lingula anatina, 1434 nucleotides. NCBI's taxonomy places the organism in Eukaryota, Metazoa, Brachiopoda, Lingulata, Lingulida, Lingulidae. The record is from RefSeq and is a predicted model, not a curated record.
UAUUUUGGUGAGAGGUGUUCAGAAAGGACCAAGGUCAGUAGAAGAUGGAGAAGAAAGCCUUGUGUCUCAUUGUCACAAUUUUCUCGGAAUAGUCAGAAAUCUGGGACAGAAAUUGACAUCGAUCUGUUAUGGAACACAUUUGCCAGUAAACAGAUGGUGAGAGGUUUGCUCCAGCUGUGAACGCGUCUUCCGUCUUAAACAAUGUAAGGACAUUUUGGCAGUGACUCAACCGUGCACGAGAAGAUUGAAUACGUUCUCCAUCAAUGACGUCGGACUCGUGUUCCACAGCUGCUGCAUCCAUGUCAAGAUUACAUGUCGCAUGUCAGAGUUUGUCUGCUAGUAAAUUUGUAGGGUUAACAUUUAAAUGAAGUGUUACGUUUACUUUGGGUUGUGAUGUUCGUCAUCAGAACGUGUAUCAAAUGAAAAGUCGGAUGUUAGGAGUAUUUGAAAGGACUAAGGCCUUGUUCACAGCCAGUUGAUCCGCAGACUAACUAGUUGAAAGCCCCACUUGAAAGCAAGCCUGGAUUUAAUUGCUCUCCCCUGCUGGAACGGCGCGCGUGGGAGGCGGGAAAUCCACUGUCAUGUACGCACCAUAUUUGAUCCACGGACUAGAUAGACCGCGGAUCAUCUGGUUGUGAACACGGUCUAAUUCUAUAGCAAGCGUCAGCCCUGUAUGCCACUGGUUUGCUAUUGUACAUAUAAACAUAUGUAUGUUAACAGGUUGUUGUACUUUACUCUCCCCGCUCAUGGUGUUUUAAUGGUAAUUUUCUAGUGCAUUUGGUUUAGGGGGAGGUAAACUUCGGGUCUCGAAAAUGAAAACGACUUUUUAAAAGUUCUCCUAUAAUAUGAAUAUUGCCAAUGCAACAAGUGGCUUGCUUUAUUUACGUCUAAAUCGGUUGUGGUUUUUGUCAAAUUGUCACCAAGAAGAGUGCUUGCUACAAACAGGACGACCGUUUUCCAUUCUGAUGGUAAUAUAUUUGUGAGGGCAAAUCUGCAGUUUGGCAUUUCACUGUAAACAAUCAUUUAUUUAAAAUUGAAUCCUAAUAUUUAUUUUGAUGAAGUUAACUUUAGAGAAGAAAAAAAACGUCCCAACCGUGUAAAUGCAUCUAUAGAAGUUGUUGAACGUUAUAUUGUUAUAUUUAUUGUUCAGUCGAAGAAGAAAAUGCGAUGCGUAUUUACCAAAAGAAAUUAGACAGUUCGCUGCAAUUUGAAUAGUAAUUUAUUUCGGUAUAUUAUCUUCAUUAAGGGGUUUAUGUAGGACUGACAUUCAUCAGAAACUUUUACAUUCUGAAUUCUCGACAAAUUCUUGACAAAUUCGAAUCAAUCACUUUAGUUGCCAAAAAGCCGAUUUGUUAGGGUAAUGAUCAGAGGCAGAUCCAGGAAUAUUUGAAGGGGGGUCCGCAGAUGCAAAGCCGACUCGUUAACCUCCCCCCC